GGCUCAGGAUGAACGCUGGCGGCGUGCCUAAUACAUGCAAGUCGAACGCACAGCGAAAGGUGCUUGCAUCUUUCAAGUGAGUGGCGAACGGGUGAGUAACACGUGGAUAACCUACCUCAAGGUUGGGGAUAACAUUUGGAAACAGAUGCUAAUACCGAAUAAAACUUCGUAUCGCAUGAUACAAGGUUAAAAGGCGCUACGGCGUCACCUAGAGAUGGAUCCGCGGUGCAUUAGUUAGUUGGUGGGGUAAAGGCCUACCAAGACAAUGAUGCAUAGCCGAGUUGAGAAACUGAUCGGCCACAUUGGGACUGAGACACGGCCCAAACUCCUACGGGAGGCUGCAGUAGGGAAUCUUCCACAAUGGGCGAAAGCCUGAUGGAGCAACGCCGCGUGUGUGAUGAAGGCUUUCGGGUCGUAAAGCACUGUUGUAUGGGAAGAACAGCUAGAGUAGGGAAUGACUUUAGUUUGACGGUACCAUACCAGAAAGGGACGGCUAAAUACGUG
Molecule: ribosomal RNA, 504 nt
Filed under: uncultured bacterium
Lineage: Bacteria
Description: bacterial SSU rRNA
Rfam family: Bacterial small subunit ribosomal RNA
Source: RNAcentral